This 73-nucleotide transfer RNA is filed under the name Bremerella cremea. Its description in RNAcentral is "tRNA-Glu". It matches the Rfam family "tRNA". From Rfam's summary of the family: Transfer RNA (tRNA) molecules are approximately 80 nucleotides in length. The record is from RNAcentral. Lineage: Bacteria; Pseudomonadati; Planctomycetota; Planctomycetia; Pirellulales; Pirellulaceae. RNAcentral also lists the same sequence under 5 other names.
GCCCCCUUCGUCUAGUGGCCCAGGACGUCGGGUUCUCAGCCCGAAAACAGGGGUUCGACUCCCCUAGGGGGUG